UCUACGGGUGGCAGCAGUGAGGAAUAUUGGUCAAUGGCCGGAAGGCUGAACCAGCCAUGCCGCGUGAAGGUCAGUGCCCUAUGGGCGUUAAACUUCUUUUGUGCGGGAGCAAUAAUGGUCACGUGUGGCCAGACGAGAGUACCGUACGAAUAAGCAUCGGCUAACUCCGUGCCAGCAGCCGCGGUAAUACGGGGGGUGCAAGCGUUAUCCGGAUUUAUUGGGUUGAAAGGGGGCGUAGGCUGUGAGGUAAGUCAGCGGUGAAAUGCCCCCGCUCAACGGGGUGAAGUGCCAUUGAUACUGCCUGGCUGGAAUGCGGAUGCCGUGGGAGGAAUGUGGGGUGUAGCGGUGAAAUGCUUAGAUAUCACGAAGAACUCCGAUUGCGAAGGCAGCUCACUGGACUGCAACUGACACUGAGGCUCGAAAGUGUGGGUAUCAAACAGGAUUAGAUACCCGAGUAGUC
Molecule: ribosomal RNA, 460 nt
Filed under: uncultured bacterium
Lineage: Bacteria
Description: partial 16S ribosomal RNA
Rfam family: Bacterial small subunit ribosomal RNA
Source: RNAcentral